AGCCUGGUGGUGCAGCGGUAGCACAUUCCAUCAUUACGCGCUUCUGAGGAAUAAAAAAAAAUCUCUUAGAUGAGAGGUCGAGGUUGGAAAGACGUGGGUUCAAAUCCCACCCGGGCUA
Non-coding RNA from Daldinia bambusicola, 118 nucleotides. NCBI's taxonomy places the organism in Eukaryota, Fungi, Ascomycota, Sordariomycetes, Xylariales, Hypoxylaceae. The record is from the annotation of a GenBank genome assembly.